Molecule: long non-coding RNA, 1651 nt
Filed under: Cucumis sativus (cucumber)
Lineage: Eukaryota; Viridiplantae; Streptophyta; Magnoliopsida; Cucurbitales; Cucurbitaceae
Description: long non-coding RNA (CSAT_LNC002561)
Source: RNAcentral
CAGGAAAGUCAAGCAUGCUAAAUGCUUUAUUUCGUAUUGUUGAACUUGAAGCGGGAAAAAUAUUGAUAGAUGGUUUCGAUGUUGCAAAGUUUGGGCUGUUGGACUUGAGGAGAGUUCUAGGGAUCAUACCACAAGCACCUGUUCUAUUUUCAGGUACACAAUCUAUGUUAGCUGCCUUUGUCAAUAAUAUAUUAUAGCUGAUAUCAUUUACUACUUAGUUAAUCAAACUGCAUCCAACAUUUUCUUAUUUUUAUUUUUAUUUUUAUUCAAAUGGACAAGAAUUAAAAUUACUCAGUUUAUGUAUAAGUUUUUGCCACCCUCCCCCAUCUCACACGCGCUCACACACAAAAAAAGAAAGUUAUAGAUACAUGUCAAGGUUCUAAAUUAAAUAAACUGCCCAUAUUAUAAGUUUUUUUAUAUAUAUAUAUGGGAACUCUUGGAAAGAUAGGUAUGAGUUGGUUAUUAUUAUUUUCAUUCUCUUUUUCGUUUGUCUAGGAACGGUCAGGUUUAAUCUAGAUCCAUUCAACGAACACAAUGAUGCUGAUCUUUGGGAAGCUCUUGAGAGGGCACAUUUGAAGGAUGCCAUAAGGAGGAAUUCCUUUGGCCUGGAUGCGGAGGUAUAUCAUGAUGAGCUUCGUGUUAUAUGCAUGUGUUAUGUGAUGGAAUGAACUAAGUGAAAUCCUCUUACAUCUGUUUGCAAUUUGAUUGCCCAAGUCUACAGUUUUCUAUUAAAAUACGAACCUAAGGUCAAUAUCAGUACUCAAAAAACUUUUGGUCUAAAACGUCGGAUGGAACGGUAAAAUUGUGAUGUCUCGAUUAUCCAUAGUGUUCCCAAAAGAUUCCUCAUAAUAAGGUUCCUUGCUGUGUGACUUCAAAAUAGAAUCAAAAGAAAGUGUCGAAAAUCGUAAAACUUACUGAGUCGUUGCAAAUCAUCAUCCCUUAUAGGCCAAACAAUCGUUUUACAUGCAUCGACUAGUAGUAAAAAAUUCAGUCGACAUCCCCCUCCCACAAAGAUAAGCAACAAAACUAAAUCGUGUAACUUGUUUGGUUGCUAGGUUUCUGAGGCCGGGGAGAAUUUUAGCGUUGGACAAAGGCAACUUUUGAGUCUUGCUCGGGCACUUCUUCGGAGAUCAAAGAUUCUAGUUCUUGAUGAAGCAACAGCGGCUGUUGAUGUUAGAACUGAUGCUUUGAUUCAGAAAACAAUAAGGGAAGAGUUUAAAUCUUGUACAAUGCUCAUUAUUGCACACAGAUUAAAUACCAUCAUAGACUGCGAUCAAAUCCUUGUACUCGAUUCUGGUCGGGUAUGUUAAUUUGUUUAAAACUUCUUAAACUUUCAAAAUUGAUUCCUUUUAUAUUGCAUUUUUGUUUUAAUUUCAAGUUUGUUGAUUCUGCGGUAUCUUAGGUUUCGGAGUAUAACACUCCCGAAGAACUUUUAUCAAAUGAAAAAAGCGCUUUUUCAAAGAUGGUUCAAAGUACUGGAGCUGCGAAUGCUAAAUACUUACGCGGCUUAGUACUGGGAGGCGAAGGUGAGAAAAGGUCAGGAACUGACGAGAACUUUAAGUUGAAUGGACAAAGAAAAUGGCUGGCUUCCUCGCGGUGGGCUGCAGCUGCUCAAUUUGCUUUGGCUGUCAGCCUUGGAUCUUCACAUAAU